UACGUAGGGAGCAAGCGUUGUCCGGAUUUAUUGGGCGUAAAGAGCUCGUAGGCGGUUCGGUAAGUCGGGUGUGAAAACUCUGGGCUCAACCCGGAGACGCCACCCGAUACUGCUGUGACUUGAGUCUGGUAGGGGAGCACGGAAUUCCUGGUGUAGCGGUGAAAUGCACAGAUAUCAGGAGGAACACCGGUGGCGAAGGCGGUGCUCUGGGCCAGUACUGACGCUGAGGAGCGAAAGCGUGGGUAGCGAACAGG
RNAcentral lists this ribosomal RNA (254 nucleotides) under uncultured bacterium. Its description in RNAcentral is "partial 16S ribosomal RNA". It matches the Rfam family "Bacterial small subunit ribosomal RNA", at positions 524 to 776 of the family's 1533-position model. The record is from RNAcentral.